Dioscorea cayenensis subsp. rotundata (Guinea yam) is the source of this 107-nucleotide small nucleolar RNA. Lineage: Eukaryota; Viridiplantae; Streptophyta; Magnoliopsida; Dioscoreales; Dioscoreaceae. The record is from RefSeq and is a predicted model, not a curated record.
AACGCAUGCUGAGGACAUUUCCUUAGGAAAUCCUUGAACCUGUUCCAUGUCUCAAAAAGAGACUCCAAUUCCGUUUGCACAAAAGAGGACAUUUUAUUCCUGACCUU